RNAcentral lists this ribosomal RNA (303 nucleotides) under uncultured bacterium. RNAcentral's name for it is "partial 16S ribosomal RNA". It matches the Rfam family "Bacterial small subunit ribosomal RNA", at positions 507 to 807 of the family's 1533-position model. The record is from RNAcentral.
AGCAGUAGCCGCGGUAAUACGUAGGUCCCGAGCGUUGUCCGGAUUUAUUGGGCGUAGAGCGAGCGCAGGCGGUUAGAUAAGUCUGAUGUGAAAGCCCCCGGCUCAACCGGGGAGGGUCAUUGGAAACUGGGAAACUUGAGUGCAGAAGAGGAGAGUGAAAUUCCACGUGUAGCGGUGAAAUGCGUAGAGAUGUGGAGGAACACCAGUGGCGAAGGCGACUCUCUGGUCUGUAACUGACGUUGAGGAGCGAAAGCGUGGGGAGCGAACAGGAUUAGAUACCCCCGUAGUCCCUGUCUCUUAUAC